This 829-nucleotide ribosomal RNA is filed under the name Ilyonectria gamsii. RNAcentral describes it as "eukaryotic LSU rRNA". It matches the Rfam family "Eukaryotic large subunit ribosomal RNA", at positions 74 to 935 of the family's 3401-position model. Lineage: Eukaryota; Fungi; Ascomycota; Sordariomycetes; Hypocreales; Nectriaceae. The record is from RNAcentral.
AUUGCCCUAGUAACGGCGAGUGAAGCGGCAACAGCUCAAAUUUGAAAUCUGGCCUUCGGGUCCGAAUUGUAAUUUGUAGAGGAUGCUUUUGGUGAGGUACCUUCCGAGUUCCCUGGAACGGGACGCCAUAGAGGGUGAGAGCCCCGUCUGGUUGGAUACCGAUCCUCUGUAAAGCUCCUUCGACGAGUCGAGUAGUUUGGGAAUGCUGCUCUAAAUGGGAGGUAUAUGUCUUCUAAAGCUAAAUAUUGGCCAGAGACCGAUAGCGCACAAGUAGAGUGAUCGAAAGAUGAAAAGCACUUUGAAAAGAGAGUUAAAAAGUACGUGAAAUUGUUGAAAGGGAAGCGCUCAUGACCAGACUUGGGCUUGGUUGAUCAUCCAGGGUUCUCCCUGGUGCACUCUUCCAGCCCAGGCCAGCAUCAGUUCGCUGUGGGGGAUAAAGGCUUUGGGAAUGUGGCUCCUCCGGGAGUGUUAUAGCCCAUUGUGUAAUACCCUGUGGUGGACUGAGGUUCGCGCAUCUGCAAGGAUGCUGGCGUAAUGGUCAUCAGCGACCCGUCUUGAAACACGGACCAAGGAGUCGUCUUCGUAUGCGAGUGUUCGGGUGUUAAACCCCUACGCGUAAUGAAAGUGAACGCAGGUGAGAGCUUCGGCGCAUCAUCGACCGAUCCUGAUGUUCUCGGAUGGAUUUGAGUAAGAGCAUACGGGGCCGGACCCGAAAGAAGGUGAACUAUGCCUGUAUAGGGUGAAGCCAGAGGAAACUCUGGUGGAGGCUCGCAGCGGUUCUGACGUGCAAAUCGAUCGUCAAAUAUGGGCAUGGGGGCGAAAGACUAAU